ACGGGGUGUGGGAGCUGGGGCGGGGGAGGCUGUCGGGGCCAUGUGCCAGGAGUUUUGCAGCUGGAUUCACAUGUGCUGUCUCACUGCGCGUAGGCAAAAGUCAGCUUUCCAGGGCUGCUGGAGCUCCUCGCCGGCUGGAAGUGCCGCGGCCGAUGAGGGGGCUCCUGGUGCCCUGGUGAGAGCCGCUGAGGACAGAGCGCGCCACAGAGGCAGCGGGCCUUCUGGGAGGGGCCCCGGGGCCUUGUCGCCAGCAGAGAGGGACCUGGGGAUCACACGCGCUUUCUCUCUCGCCCUCCGUGGCCACGACUCCUACUGGUGCCGUGAGCCCUGCUGACUCCUGAGCCCAGCUACAUGGCGCACUGUGUGUGUGCCCUGUGCUGAGAGACAGGUCCUGUGGUUCUCCCUAGUUCCCUGCUUGGGAAAAGGAGGUUCAGAGGGGCAGAGCGGUUUGCCGGGGGCAUCGAGCCAGUGACGAGCAGAAUUGGGAUUCGAACCCAGGACCCAACCUAUACUCCUUACCACUGUGAGUGUUCUCCACUGCCUGUGUUAGGGCUGGGACUUGUCUUGUUUCUGCAUUUCCCUAAAGUCCCAGCCCCUGGUCCUGCAGGAGAGACAGGCCUGGGACACAGGAGGACUGAGUUCAGCUGUACCGGGAAUGCUUGUGAACUCCCUUCUUAGGAAGUAGAUCAAGAAAAACAGCGCCCGCCCUCCCCCAAAACUGGAGGCAAGCGGGCAAGGAGGCCGAGGACGCGUGGGUUCUUUCUUCUCACUUGGAGGAAUUCUGCCAGAGGAGCUGCUCUGCGCGCAGGGAAUGAGGAGGUCCCUGUGGCUGCCCGGGUCCUCCUCCUUCAGGGAGGAGAGGAAGGUACCCUGCUCCCUGUUCCCGGGGUCCCGGCCACACUGUGAGACGCUCAGCAGAGAGCUCCCCUGGCCCCAGAAUGCCAGCCAUCGCUUUGUACUUGCCUCCUCUCCUUGAGUAAAAUGCGAUGAUUUACUUACCUGCCACCUUGUUCUGACGAGGAGUUGAGACGAUGUACAACACAGGCCAGGAGUGACCAGACUAAGCCAAUGCAAACAGUUUUAAUGAGGCUUAAAGAAUAUUGUGGGUGACACGUGUGCAGUCCAUGAGCUGCCAGCAAAGUGGUGAGCGCGAGUUGUGACUAAGAGCCUCCUGGGAGGCAAGGCAAAAAGAGGAAGUAUGCUUCGUUGACCUGGCGGGAGCGUGGGGGAGAUUGUUCUGCCCUGCUGUGCAAUCUGGAAGACUGGUCCCGUGGGACUGUGCCCAGCAUGGGCAGAGGCUCCGAGCGGUGCUGAGAGUCCUCGGGAGCUGCUGGCCGACGCUGGAGGAGGCUGCAGGGGAGGCCCUCUGGAGGGGACCCUGCGCACUGCGCAGUCCCUGUGACGUGUUUCCUGAUGGCAGGGUGACACCGCCCAUGGCCCCCCGCCCAGCCCACUGAGAGUGAGUAUGCUGGCUUGGGUUUGUGAGAGGGGUCAUUUUGUUCUCAAACUGUUUUUCAAAUUUCUCCUGUCCACUGGUUGAAUUUCCAGGCCCCAGAGUCGGUGGGACAAGGAUGAAACCACCUCCGUGCCGGCCAUCUGACCGUCCUGCCCCCUCAGAGAGCUCUGGGUCAAUUCGCCGUGAACUCACUCGGAGGCGACGCCACCAGCGUCUCCCGCCCUGUGCCUUUGAUGCGUGUCCUGUGCUUGCCUGUGGGUGCUGAGAGCUGAGAGGAGUGGAGACCCACUGGCAGUCACGAGCUCCAUCUCUCCGGCGUCGUGAGGACUCCUUCACCCCGCAGAGGCCAUCCUUCUGUGCUUAUGUUUAUUUGCAGGUAGGGAUAGGGGCGGGUCCUUCCCCCUUCUGUGCUCCAGCCUCAAGCCAGCCCAGCUAAGGCCCUUGAGCUCUGGGCUGAGACGAGUCACCUGAGCUCCCUGCAGCCCAGUCUCCCCAUCUGGGCCAGCUGGCCAGCCCGCAGCAGUUGUCUUCCUGUCUUCCUCUUCCACUGAUCUGCUGGACCACCUCCCCCCGCCACCACAUCCUUGGAAAAGAGGCAGCCAUCCUGGCCCCACGUGCCUCCCUCCUGGCGUGGUGUGAGGUAGCGGAGAAGUCUUUGACCUGUUGUUUACGCAGGUGCACGGGCAUGUGUGCAUGUGUCUGUGUAAGUGUGCUUGUGCCCAUGUGAAGCAGUCGCAGCUGGAGGUGUUAACACCUGAGUGCUCCCAGGAUGCUCUGUCGUAGGUGAACUGUUACAGUCGCAGAGGGGCGGGCGGCUGCCGGAGCGAGUCUUGUGGGUUCUUUUCCUCAGCUUAGUAUAGAAAUAAAAAGCCGGGAGACAGUUAGCAAAGAGGCAGAAACUUUUAUUAGACAGAAAAGAAACUUUUGUUUCAUAGGCAAGCGACACUGGCUCUGAGGAAGUGCCCGGGUCUUUAAGGCAUUACUGUCAUUCUGUAGGGGUGCCCAUUGGACAGGGCUUUCACAUGCUGUGUGCUGAUUGGCUUGGGGCUCAUGAGCUAGCAGGAGUCUCCUGGAGACAGUCUGCCUCUCCCCAGGGGCUCAGCCCCCUCCUCUGCCAACUCUGGGUGAAAGAUUGCAGCCACCUGAGGGAGGGAUUUAAAGUGGCAAGGUCACGCAUGCAACGCAAGAAGCUGUUGGUGGGGGAAAUGCCGAUCAGUCAGUCGGUCUGGAGACAACUUUCCAGCCCCAGCCGGCAGCCUGCCUGUGAAGGAUGUUCUACCCAGGUCUGGGGGCCCACAGACUCCCCACCCCCAGCUUCAGGAGCUCCCAUCCGUUCUGGCCCUCGGGCAGCAUGGUGCACCCACCCCCAUCCACCUGGAUACUCUGAUUCUGAGUCAAACGAUUAUUCCUGUGAGACUAUUCAAAGCCUCUUCCCUCCCUCCCCCCGGCCUUAGCUGCAAGCUCUCCGUCCUUUCUCUUUCCUGUUCAUCGAGACUGUCCGUACGGAGUGGGGAAGAAGCAGAGGAGCAGGGCUGGGCAUAUGAGCAGUGAAGAAGCUGAGUUCGUCCCCCAGACAAGGAGGGAAAAGAGGGAGCGAGAGCAAGGUGGGGAGGAGAAAGAGAACUCUCUGGGGAAGAUGUCAGGGAAGUUUUGCAGAGUUUGGGUGCAGAGUAGAGUGUGAGAGCUGGAGAGAGAGGCUUUGGGCAGCUGCACAGCAGCAGAGCGCUGGAAACGGAGAGAUCGACGCAGGGCGCAGGGACUUUGUUGCUGUGGUUUACAAAGCUGAUGUCACUUUAUGACCCAAAUAAUAUUCUUCAUCUCAUCAAAGGCAGCUCGGAUCAUAAAUCUCAUCUUUGUUGUUUGCACAAGUACAAAGGCAAAUAACACUGCCAGUUAAACUCUACUGUGCUAAUCAUUUGUGAGAUGCAUCUGGGUUUCAGGAAUGUUAAAAAAGGAAAAAAUGAGACCAGCACCGCGGCUCACUAGGCUAAUCCUCUGCCUGUGGCACCGACACACCAGGUUCUAGUCCCGGUUGGGGCACCAGAUUCUGUCCCAGUUGUCCCUCUUCCAGUCCAGCUCUCUGCUGUGGCCAGGGAGUGCAGUGGAGGAUGGCCCAAGUGCUUGGGCCCUGCACCUGCAUGGGAGACCAGGAAAAGCACCUGGCUCCUGGCUUCGGAUUGGCACAGCUCGCCAGCCACAGUGCGCCGGCCUUAGUAGCCAUUUGGGGGGUGAAGCAACAGAAAAGGAAGACCUUUCUCUCUCUCUCUCUCACUGUCUAAAAUCUGUCAAAAAAAAAAAAGAAAAAAUUGUGUGUUUAAGAUGUAUGAAUAUAGCACCAUUGCUUUACAUUUUUAAAAUGGAACAGUGUGCUGGGACUGGACUGUGUGGAGCUCUUAAAGGUAUUCAUUUUUUUUUUUUUUCAAAAAGAGAUUUAUUUGAAGGGGCAGCAGAGAGAGAGAGAGAGAGAGAGAGAGAAUAUGUUCCAUCCCCUGGCUCAUUCCCCAGAUGUCUGCAUUGGCUGGGACUGGGCCAGGCCAAAGCCAGGAAACUGGAACUCCAUCCGAGUCUCCCCUGUGGGUGGAAGGAACCCAAGAAAUUGGCCAUCUUCUGCUGUUUUCCUGGGUGCAUUAGCAGCAAGCUGGGUUGGAAGCCAAGUGGCUUGAACUUGAACUGGUGCUCCAGUAUGGACUGUGGGGCCCAAGUGGCAGCUUAACCCACUGCACCACAAGGCCGGCCCCUUCCAUGCACUGGGAGUCCCAUGGUGUGCAUGUCGGUCUCCUUGCCCCCACCCUGUGCUCUCUGACCUGACUCAAGGAGGAACUCAGUUACUCAAGUUUUGUGGAGCAAUCGUAUCCUGUCAGGGGGCUGCAGCCAAGUGCUCUCCAUAAGUCUGCAUAGAUUUUUUCCACUGUAACGACAUUCUGAAAGCUGGAUGGAGAAACAGCUGCACGUGCACGCUCGCACCCACCCCGCAUCCGCGUGCCCACACCACAGUCUGGACAUCUGGGUGGUCACAGGGACUGGAUGUGAGGCCCCUGAGAAUGCUGGCCUUCAGGAUGGCGUUGGUGCCAGUAGCGUACGGAUUGCUCUGAUUAUCCGAGGCUCUUGAGGAAAGCGUGACAAGAACACAGGACACAAAGAGCACGUUUGUGCAUGCAUGCGCGGGGGCGGUUUGCGGUGGUUUUAGAAAGAAAUGUGGCAGUGAUUGAGAGCAUGAGACAGGUCCGAUUGACGGUGGGGAGAAAGAGGCUUUAUGGCGGAGCCCCCAGAGACUGCCACCAUUUACAGCACGCGCAGAGGAGCCCGAGAAAUGGCUGCUGGAGAAUUCGGAGGAAGUGUGGGCAAGUGGUACAUCCAGGAGACCCAAGAAAGUGGGCACUGCAAGAAGGGGGAGUUUGGGUCACCAGACUGAAUGCUCGUGCGAGGUUCGAGUAGCCGAGCUUAUCAGCAACUCUGAUUGCCCGCGCGCAUAGAAGGUGCAGAGUUGUAAGUGAGAAGAGUGGAGAAGCCUCGCCUGGUAGAACUGCGUGUGAGAGUGUCGUGUGACACCUGGGAUGCCUGGCGGCCAUAGUGAUUCACGCCGACUUGUGGGUGGUCUGCACAGCCAUUCUCCAUCUCCAGCUUCUGCUCUGGGAGUCCCCCCAGCCCUUCCCCACCGAUUGUCUCUGAAGAUCCACUGGGCUCCCAUUCUCGAGUCGAGCCUGACCAAGUUAGGAAACACCUAAAGACAGGACUCCCUGCUGUUGUCGAAAGGAAUUUCAGAAAUGCCCAGCCCUGCAGACACGCACACAAGCUGACCAAGCCUGGCCUGCUCACUGAUCCUGCCUGCUGAGUUAAUGAGCUGCCAUAGUGGCUGCAGAACUGGUACCCUCUGACAGGGCUCCUGCCCGGGAACCUUCUGCUCAGCUGUAAUCCAUUCACCUGCCCAGUGCGAGCCUCAGACUCCCCCAGGAAAGAGCCCAGAUCCUGGCCCCGGCACUUAUCUCUUCCCUCUUCUUCCUGCAAGAAAACCACUGCUUCUUACGGAGACGCAUGGCCUGGAGUUUGGACGGGUUGGUCUGUUCCGCCCUCCUCAGCGAGCUGCUCAUGUGGGCCAGGUGAUCAGAGUGCCUUAUCCUCCGUUGCACAGCGAUCGAUCUGGGGAGAGGCGCAUGACCCAAAUGAGCCCAUCAAAAUUUUCCCCGUGGGGCAGGCUUUUGGCAUAAUAGUUACAGUACUGCUUGGGAUGGCCACAUCUCAUAUUGGAGCGCCUGGGUCCAAGUCCUGGCUCUGCUUCUGACACCAACUUCCAGCUGGUACAUAGGUUGGGAGGCAACAGGUGAUAGCUCAAAUAAUUAGGUCCCUGCCACCCAUGUAGAAGACCUAGAUGGAGUUUGCAGCUCCUGGCUUCAGCCUGGCCGAACCCCAGAUGUUGUGCACAUCUGGGACAUGUACCAGCAAAUGGGAGUAUAUCUCUCUGCCCUUCAAAUGAGUAAAAUAAAUUUAAAAUUUAUUAAAAGCAAUCUUCCCUUGCUAGCUCUAAGUCAAAGUGUUUCUGUAAGUGUGGUCUGGAGAUCUCUGUAUGAGGCCAAAGCUAUUUUUAUAACCGUACUGAGCUUUUACUUGCCCUUUUUUUUUUUUUUACUGUGUUGACGUUUUGCACUAAUGGUGCAAAAACAAGGGUGGGUAAGAUUCCUGGCACCUUUGCUUUUGAGUGGGAAGGAGCUCAGAUACAGGGAGCUGAGCAGUAGUCAUGUGGCACCCAGGCUGUCCUUACCUUGUCCUGGUGUGUCACUGGUCCGUCACCUCCAGGGCACCAUGGAUAACUAGGAAGUCUACAGGAGUGGUCCCACCAGAAUGGUUCAUUGCACAACCUACACGGCCACACUCAAAAGUCCUAAAAACUGUAGUCCCCAAACUGUGUUCUGUGUUCCUCUGAUGCCACACGAUGCCCCUCACGGAAGGAUGCCAUAGUUAAAUAUGCUUGGCAAGACUGCGUUCUGUAAUUCCCUCCCUUGGAGAUUAUCAGUGGCUAUCUGCACUCCCACGGGUCUCACAGUGACAUAACCUAUUUUCUUUAUUAAAUCUUUCUUUCCCCAACUAUUUUACCAUGCAAUCAUUUUGAUUCUAGAAAUAGUUACAAUAUGCCAUGGACUAUGGGCUUUAGCAUAGAACUUUUGGACUGUACAGUCGGCCCUCUGUGAGUUCUGCAUCUGAGGAUUCAACCAACCAUGGACUGAAAACAUUAAAAAGAAAAGGUGCAGGGGCUGCUAGCAUGGUGCAGAAGGUUAAGCCACAGCCUGAGACACUGGCAUCCCACAUGAGCACUGGUUCAAGUCCCAGCUGCUCCACUUCUGAUCCAGUUCCCUGCUAAUGCACCUGGGGAAGCAGUGGAAGAUGGCCCUAAUUCUUGGGCCCCUACCACCCACUUGGGAGACCCAGUUAGAGUUCAGGCUCCUGGUUUUGGCCUGGUCCUGUCCUGGCCAUUGCAGCCAUCUGGGAAAUGAACCAGCAGAUGGAAGAUUUCUGUCUGUAACUCUGCCUUUCAAAUUAAAUAAAUAAAUCUUAAAAAAAAAGAGUGCAUGUAUUGAAUAGGUACAUGUUUUCUUGUCUGCAAAAAAUGUUUAUUCUCUAAACAAUAAGGAUAAUAACUUUAUAUAGUAUUUACCUUGUAUUAGUUAUUACAUCUAGAGAUGAUUUAAAGUAGGAUGAUGUAUAGGAUGAUAUGUAUAGGUUCUAUGCAAAUACAGCACUGGUUUUCACAGGGGACUUGAGCAUCCUCAAGACUUUGGUAUGCAUGGGGUCUUGGAGCCCACCCCCAACAGGUAUUGAGGGAGGAUAUGCUUUAAACUCCAUGAGACCGGGAACUGUGCUUGUCUUAUUCUCCACAGUAUACUCAGGGCCUGAUAGAGUGCCUGACACAUCACAGAUCCUUGAAAAACCCGUUGAAUAAAUUAAAGGGUCAAUGAUUGAUGGAUGCUUUCACUAGUCCCUGAUCCCCUUAAGAUUCUCUAUGUUUACAAAAACUGAGGUCCUUGUAGUGCAUUAUUUAUGUUGUUUUGCCAGCAAUAAAUUUUGUGCUCUUGUCUCCCGAAAAUGAUACGUUUUUCAGGAUGCAAUGACAUUUAGGUAUUUAAAUUUGUUCCCUCUGUGUGCGAGGCUGGGCAAGCACAACUGUUUCCCAUUAAGCCAGUCCUCUGAGGCCUCCCUCCUCUCUGCGGUCUGGGCUGGAGAAGCAGCACAGGCGAGCCCUUCCCAGCGGUUUUCAUGUGGUUGACAAAGAGCGAACGCUGGCCUUGGAGGAGGAAGGGCCAAUGGCAGCUCAACCCCGCUCUGCGAUUCUGGGCGGCUGAGCAAUAAAGGCGGCCCCGGAGCUCUGCCCGGGAGCGGGCGGGCUCAGCCUUUGUUCCUGCCUUCAGAAGGAAGGGCACCAAGGAAGGGAGACACAGUGUCUUGGAAACCCCAUGGUUUUAGAAAAUGCAUGAUUUGAGGGACUGAGGAGAGAGAGAGCGAAUUAGAAUAUCCUAUACUCUAUUAUAUUCAAUUGCAUAUUAUCUUCAAUUGCAGGGGUUGAUAAACUACAGCUCAAAGGCAAACAUAGGCCACUGCCUAUUUUUCUAUUACCCCAAGAUAAGAAUCACUGAAAAAAAUUCAAACGAAAUUACAUUAUGGCCUGUGCAAGUUAUAUGGCAUUCAACGUUCAUUUUCAAAGAUGAAAUACAGAGACCAGCGCUGUGGGGUAGUCGGCUGAGCUUCUUCCUACAGCACCAGCAUCCCAUACGGGCACUGGUUCGAGUCUCAGCCGCUCCACUUCUGAUCCAGCUCUCUGCAAUGGCCUGGGAAAGCAGUGGAAGAUGGCUCAAGUCCUUGGGCUCCUGUACCCACAUGGGAGACCUGGAGGAAGCUCCUGGCUCCUGGCUCCUGGCUCCUGGCUUCAGAUUGGCCCAGCUCUGGCUGUUGUGGCCAUUUGGGGAAGUGAACCAGUAGAUGGAAGACCUUUCUCUCUGACUCUCCCUCUCUCUGUAACUCUACCUUUCAAAUAAAUAGAUAAAUAAAUAAAUAAAACCUAAAAAAAAGAUGAAAUGCAUAAAAUCCCAUUUCACAUCAACAUUAAUGGAUGAAUAUUUGCAAUAGAUUUUUAUUAUAGAAGAUACCGUUUAAAAUUGUGUUUAUCUGAAAUAGAGACAGAAACAGAGAAAGCUCUCAUCCACUAGUUUACUACCUGGAUGCCCACAUAGUGGGCACUGGGGAGCUAGGAGCUGGCAACUCCAUCCAUGUCUCCCAUAUAAAUGGCAGGAGCCCAAGCACUUGAACCAUCAUGGCUGCCUCCUAUGGUCUCCCUCAGCAGGAAGCUGGAGUCAUGUACUGGAGGCAGGCAUCAAACCCAGGCUCCCUGAUCAGGGACACGGGUGUCUUAACCGCAGGGUCAAAUGCCCCAGUGGAAGAUGCUUUGAACCCCAAUUAAGCAGAAUAAUAUUCCUCAGAGAAUUAUUUCAUCCUUUUCAUUAGGAGAGCUGCAUUAUAAAAGCAAACUAUACUCAUUACAUUUUAAACUUCAGCACUAAGAACCUCAUAGAAAUUUGUAUUCUGUCUUGCUUUUUAAGUGCCUCUAUAUUAGUCUCAAUUUUGCCUUUUGCCCACAAAGCCUAAAAUGUUUCCUAGCUGAUCAUUCUCACACACACACACACACACACACACACACACAAAGAAAGAAAAGAAAAGAAAAGAAAAGAAAAAGAAAAAGGGCUGCAGCUAAGUGGCUUAUCUGCGAUGGCUUCAGCCGUCAUACAUGUCUGAGGAGAGGAAAGUCUCAGUAGAUUCACCCAGUAUUCAUUUAGUCACCAGACUUUAGGGAGCCCUCUUUGGACCAGGCCCUCAGUAUGUCCGACUGGCAGACAAAGCAGAUGUGCAGACAGGCCGCUGCCUUUGGGGAGCUGAUCCCGAGGCUGGACCACGGACCUAGCCUGCAGGUACGUGUCCAUGGGAUGAUGAGUCAGAGUGGCCCCCCACAGCGUGGGAAUUUCAUGUGUGUCAGCUUGUCAGUGGGUCACCUUGGGCAGCGCACGGCUGCCCAGAGGCGCUCUGUGUGAGGCGUUGCGGAAGGGCGUAGAAGGAAGCAGGAUCAGGUGAGCAGCAUGAGACUGGCAGUGGGGAAGCCAAGUCCAGAAUGUCAACCAGGACAGGGUGGCCCUCCUGUUGACUCAGGCAGGAGGCCAGGGAGUGAGCCAGGAGCAGCACAGGCGAUACAAAACAAGGAGAGUGGCGGCCAGCGCUCAGGCCGUGUUCACAUCGCUGCAGAGGGGGCGGCCGAGGCACCGUGGCCUCCCAGGGCUCGAGGCCGCCUGAGCGCAGCAAGGACGCUGGGAUUGUCCUCCCACAACGCUGAGGAGUUUCCAGGCUUGGCUCCACUCCUUGAGGAAUUUCUCUUUGGCUGCAGCCUUCAGAGGGGUCCACAGUAAUUUCCUCCAGUCCCCGCAGAAAAUGUGUAUGUAGAUCCAGCCACAGGCAUUGUCUUUUUCACAUCCUAUAGUUGAGGAAAAUGGCACAAAUGGGAAACUGAGGCACCCAAGGCUGUUGAAGCCACAACCCUUUUGGUCUGGGGUGGUAGUGGAGAGGGGCUGUUCCACCUUCUGUCUCUAGGUUGGCAGGUGGCAAACCUCACCUUGGCUGUGUAACCUUCUCUCAAAGAGAAAAGCAGCUCAUAGAGGCCAUCGGUGAUGACCCCCAUAGGAUCCUGGGGCUCCAGGAACAGGGCCAAAGUUGGAAGCAGAGUGCCUCCCCGUGACCUCCAUGCAGCUUACCCCAGGCCCCUCUGCUGCCAGAAAUCACCCAAGAAGUGGAGCCAGGGCUGGUCAUAGAUUCAUUCCUGCUCUCUGGGUUCCUAAGAGCCCCGAUAGGUUCCUGGAAGCUAACCCUAUUUUUGCUAAUCCUACAUCCUGGACACGGCCUUGCAAUGUGGAAAGGACAUUGGCUCUGGGGCCAAGUGAACCUCUCCUGGAGUCCUGGUUCUGCUAUUCUGCAGCAGCUCUGUCGUUUAACCUUGGCAGGUGACACUUGAGUAAACUCAUUAAACUUAGUGUAGAGCAGAGGUAAUGGCACCUGUUGGAAGGAUAAGCAAAGAGGGAAGUCACAGCCCUCUCGUUCACCAAUCGAGUGCCCUCCCCAAACAUGCAUCAUUAAUGCUCUGGUUUAAAUAUUUCCAGACUUCUUUCUAGGUUCGCACUAACACAAACAUGAAUGUAUACACAUGUGUAAAUUUAGAAGCAGAAUAUAAGUGUACACACUAGCCUGAAACUCACUUUAGUUCUAUUCAACAACAUGUAUACGUCAUUUCAAGGCAACGUGAAGUAAAGUAUUACUCUUUUACUAACUUCUUAAUAUUUCCUAACGUGGUAAUUGACAAACCUAGUGAUGGAUAUUUAGCUUGUUCAAAUGUUUUUUCCAUCACAAACCUUGCUGUAAUGGACCUGCGUGUUUAUACAUCUGUGUUAACAUUUCUGUAAGAGAGAGUCCUGGAAGUGAGAAGGCUGGGUCAAAAAGUAUACACACAACACAUUUGAGUGGAUUCUACUGAACUGCUUUCCUGCCCAAGUUGUACCCAUCUGCAGUGUCUGACAGGACUCACUUCCAUGCAUCCUUGCAAGCACCGAACUCUGUUAAUUUUUAAUUUUUUGCAUUUCCCUGAUAAUAAGUCAAACGUCUUUUCAUGUUUACUGACCAUGUGCCUUCUUGCUCUGAAUUCUUCAUUUAUAUCCCUUGCCCAUUUUUCUGUUUGCAUGUUUGAGCUGUUCUUAACUUGUAUGCGCUCUUUGUGCAUUAAGCACGGACAGCUGUUGCCAGCGAGAAAAGACCCUGUUCUGAACCACCGAGUCUGAAGCAGGUGUUGCAUGCCAGAGGCCUGGGCUCGCCACAUAGAUGUUGCAAAUAUUUCCCCAAGUUACCAUUCUUCUUUUAUUUGAUCUGUGCUGUCUUUAGGAGUUUAAAACGUUUCAGUAUUCAGAUCUGUCAUUUUCUCUUCUGGCUUCUUGGUUUCCUGUCUUGCUUAAGCAGCCUCCCAUCCUGAUAUUAUGUUGGUAGUCUUUUCUGUUUUCUUGUAAUACGUUUAUGGUUUCAUUUAUUUAUAUGCAUGUCUUGAAUAGUUCAGCUGAUCUGAGUAGAGGCAGAAUUCAUAGUUCCAGUGUAGCUGAUGUGUUUCUGAGGCUUUUUUUCCUCAUCUCUCCCCAUGCAUGAGGGAGACCAUCAUUUUUUGAGGUGCAGUAGUCAGUGCAGUCCUACUAAUGUUCUCAUAUUUAUGAACAAUUCCGCGGCUUAACACCCCCUAGUAAUACCAGUGUUAAUAUCGGUGAUUUCUUUGUGAUGGUGCUGCAGAUACUUUUAUUUUUCCCCCUUCUCAUCUGUAGUUUCUCAUUUUUCAACAAAAUUGAAGCAUAUUCUCAGCAUGAAAACCAAGAAAACAGGAUACAGAGAAAUCUAAGGGGCUUUUUUCUGAGUAAAAGAGAUAGAUGUGGAGUCACUUAUCCCACUCUCUAAGGAUCUUUUGGGAUUUUCUUCCAAGUUUCCUCGUUGACUAGGGCAUUAUUGCACUAGCCCCACUUCACAGAUGAGAAAAUUGAUGCCUAUGAGAGAGGACGACUUGGUCAAGGCCACAUGGCAGGUGAGUGACAGAACAAGCACUGAGCCUGGGUGUCUUCCUCAACUCUGGCCCUGUCUGGUUAGGCGUUGGUAAGUGUGGCUCAGGCAGAGCUCACCAGGGCCUCUCCGGGAUUUCUUGCUAGACGGGUGGGUCAGCUGGAGACCCUGUCUCUCUGGGAGGAUUAGCUGACUCCACUACCCACCUGGAUCACUUCUGCUAAUGACACAGCCCCCUCUCCCGCCCUCCCCCAUCGUCAGAAAUAAGAGUCUGGCAAACAGCUGUGUUUACCUCCAGCGACUAGUGUAGGGCUGCUGGGUCCUGGAGGGGAUUGUUCAAGCUUAUCUUCUCCAGAUAGCAAUGUGCUGAGGGCUGCACAAUCUGCUGACCCAGAUUGAAAUCAGCUGCAAAACACGAGAGUCCUAAACACACACAUACAGCUCCUCAGCCAACUGCAGCCAACGGCGGCUGGGUGGCCCCUCCCCUCCUCAACAGGCCGACUCCAUCCCAGAAUGCUUAGGGCAAGCCUCCAAGGGGACGCUAGGCACCUGCCUCCUGUCCUACAUGCCUCAUUCUCAUGUUUUCAGUGUAGGAGACAGCCGGGAGAGAUUGGUGGGAGAAGAGAGAGAGAGAGAGAGAGAGAGAGAAGCAGACUACAGAAGCUUCAGAUCCAGGAACAAAGGGCAGCCUUGGACCACUGCACAAUUUUAUGCAGAUCCUGAGGUCCUUCCUCUGGGCACAAAGCCCUGGUGAAACUGGUGGGAAUGUUGUCUGUUUUUAGGCAAUCUAUAGUUUGGCUGUUCUGGAUGGUGGAGGACAAACAGAAUGCCCCAGCCCCGGCUCUGACGGGCCCACUGCCUGGUCAGAAGCACCCCAUGGCUUCCGAUAGUUGGCCCUGUAAAGUCCAAAAGAUCUUUGAGACCCUUGAGGGACUGGUUCCAGGUCUACCUUCCUCCUCAGCCUGGCGUCUCUCUGCCUUCAACCCCCACAGUCUUUGAUCUGUAACCCUCCUAUGCACUUAUCACUCCCUGCUGCAGCAGUAUUUGCUUUUGAGAGCUUUAUCAUUCUUACUUCCCCAGUCUGUGUUCCUUGGGGGCCAGGCCCAGGCUUGUUUAUCUUUGUACCUCUGAGCCCUGAAUGCGAUAUGCAUGUGGGGGUGCUCAGGAACCUUUGUGGCCUUAAACCGGGAACUGUCCCACAGGGCAGAGCUCAGCCUGAGAGGCGGCAAGGCCCCCCAGGUCCCCACUGUGCAUGAGCAGGAAGGACACCUUUUGCCCCAACCCGCAGAGAAUACAUUUCAGCCGGAAACCUCCAGGUCACGUGGUCCAGCGCCUUCGUUUCAGACAGGCUAAGCGCCUGGCUGGGGAUGGGAGAUGUCACUUGGCUGAAGUCAGGUCGGGGGUGGUGGGGCUGGGGUGUAAACCUAGGUCUGCCUGACUUGGAAGGAGCCCACAGAGUCAGCCCCCGACGUCUCGCUGCUGGCUUCCCAGAAGAGGGCUCUGUCUUGCCAGGCCUGGGAGGGUUUCGGCACGGUGGCAGGCAGUACCUGGCUCCGAGCCACCCCCAGCCCUCUGGCCAGAGACGCUGUUUGAGAACUCUGCCUGCGCGUGGCCUGGAAGCCAGCUUCCCCAGCUGGGUCUUUCCACAGAAGGCCGGUCAGCCAGGUACCAGAACAGCACACGGAGCCUUUGUCCAGGGUGCAGGGUGUUUUCCAGUGUGGGGUUUGUGUUGGCUGUACUGACGGGGCAAGGGAAGUGGAGGCCUCUAGCCCGCUGCCAGCAGGGCUCCACGCCAAGAGGGCAAUGGGCAGGAGGGGGGAACGGGCCAGAGGCACCCCACUGGGAACGUGGGAGGAGACGGCCAGGGCGGCAGGGAGGGCACUGGGCUGGGGACCCCUGAGCUCACGCUGGGUUUUGCGUUGCAGAAACAGCUCAGACUCACAGAGCAGUUCCGCCGCCAGCUGUGCCCUCUAGGCUUGUGCGGCUCUGGACAGUUUUUUCCAAGCCUCAGCUUCCUCCUUGGUUGUGUGAGUGGGGGUCAUAGCAGUAUCUUGGUGGGCACCAUGAGGACCAGAGGCAUGGCCCGCAGUAGUUGCUCAAUAAGUGGUGGAGUCCCUGUGAAUUUUUGUAAGCAUUCCCACACUUCCCAAAUUUACACACUAAUGAAAGGUCAGGCUGUGGAGAACACCCAGGCCAUGGUGUCAAAUGACUGUGGACUGCGAAAAGGAACCAAAAUCGCCAGGAGUAGACCCGCGUUGAGAGGAACUCUGGCCCAGAAACAGCUGGGGGCAGACAAUCUGUUUUUAGUUAGGGAGCAGCCUGGAAGGUCUGUAAAACUCUCCCAGUGUGGUCGCCGUGUCCUGAGUGUUCUAUGCUUAGCCUGGGUAUGGGCGUGAGUGCUGCGUAAGUGUGCGGUGGCUGCGACGUCCGUGUGGUGCGCCUGUGGCGUGUGUUAUGUGGAGGCCUGUGCUUCCCACCUUUCAUAACAUUCAGGAGAGGGAGAAGAGAAACAGACGUAUUAUGUAAAUGCGUGAUCUCUUUGUCUCUCUUUUCCUAUAAUGCUCCCAGUGGCUCCCACUCAAAGAGCCCCAGUUGUCCCAGCUGCUCCUGCUGGUGAGUGGCACAGGCCCACCCUGCACCUAGGUCUUCCUGGUGAGAGCAGGCGUUGGUUCCUGAGAGGAGGAAGGCGCACAGGCAGAGGCAGGGUUGUGUUCUCUGAUCUUCAGGCAGCUUUGCCUGGGACGUGUCACCCGGAUGGCUGCACCCUGCUCUCGCUCCCAGUCCUGCAACUUCCUGCACAGCUUGUUGCCGCUCGGGUUUGACUUUUGUCAGCUCUUCCUUUGAAGGAGGCCUCAAGCCAGUGAAGCGGUCUCAGCGAGGGAAGAAGCAGCUCCGUGGCUCGGGCCUGGCUCCUGGGCCAGCCCAGGACGGUCGGAGCAUCAGCCUACACCUUAGUUUGCACAUUCUGCUGGGGUCCCUGGAGGUCUCUGGCUUGCUGCCGUUCCUGGGACGCCCCCACAAGCUGCCUCAGUUCCCCUCCUGGCGUGCUCGCCCCAUAGUCAGGCCUGAGUCGCCAAGUGCUGCAGGCUGCUGCGUGCAACUCUGUAGACCCGGCCCUGGCGGCCACGCCUCUCUUCGCAGGGCUGCUCCAGGAAGUGAAACUUGCAAGGGCGGCCUCAGACAGGCUCCCCUCCAGGAGACAGACAUCUUCCUAAAGCCUUGAUUCUUUCACCAGACAGUUAUGGACAAGCACGCAGCCUGUGUCUGAGGUCGGAGGCAGAGUUUCUGCACAGUCCGGUGGGGCGCUGACGUGAAUACAAGGCGCUGAGCCCGGGGCGGGGGGGGCGGGGGGAGCACGAGAAUGGACAGGCAUUUCCUGGGCGCGCUGGAGGAAGAAGCUCUGCCCCCGGCCCUGGCCUGGGGAAUACUCACAGCACGUGACACAGUAUCUUACUGGGGUCUGAAGGAUAGGUCAGGGUUUGAUAGGUAAAAAUAAUAUCAAUAGCAAUCACAAUGUUCUUAUUUACUUACAAUAGGAAGGGACUUAAAAAGUUAGUUAGAAAUGAAGUUAAAAGAUACAUUUACUUGGAUGCAAAAAAAAAUUGAAAUCCAUGCAUACUUUUUUCAUAAUAGGCACUUUCUGUGACCUUGUUGAAGACCUGUCAGAUGUCGGGCAUCCUGAGUACUUUGCAAACACGAUUUCAUGUGAUUUAAGCGACCGGCCGGGUGCCACAGUUACUGCAGAUAUGCCCAUUUCACAGGGGAGGAAACUGAGGGCCAGAGAAUGGGAAGUAACGUGCUCAGAAUGAGGAAGCAGAGCAGGCAGUCAUGAAACCCAGUUCUCCUCGCGCCCAGACCGGACUUCUUCAGUCACAAACGACAACGACGUAAAGGGAGAUGUGUUGAGAACCUUGCUGCCCUCCUGGUGCCUGGGUGCUUCCCAGGGGCUGUCCCUCCCUGGUCCUUAAAGAUGUAAAGUUAAAGCAGUGUCCCAUGUGUUCCCAGUGUUUCCUUAUGCAAAUGUAAACAAGUCUGAACAAAUAUUCUUGUUUCCCUUCCUCUUAGCCAGAGUAGCAGUAGGAACAUUGGCUUAGACUUGUCCAUGCGGCUUUGGAGCGCUUUCCAUCAGAGCAGGAGUGAACUUCCUCAUCAUCGUACACAGCCGGCCAGUGCUCCGCUCCUUGAACCUGGACUUUCUUUUUUUUUUUUUUUUAUUAAGAUUUUUAUUUCUUUCUUUAUUUGACAGGUAGAGUUACAGACAGUGAGAGAGACAGAGGAGAGGUCUUCCUUCCGUUGGUUCACUCCCCAGAUGGCCGCAACGGCCGGAGCUGCGCUGAUCCAAAGCCAGGAGCCGGGUGCUGCUUCCUGGUCUCCCAUGUGGGUGCAGGGGCCCAAGCAUUCGGGCCAUCCUCCACUGCUUUCCCAAGCCAUAGCAGAGAGCUGGACUGGAAGAGGAACAACCGGGACUAGAACUGGCGCCUAUGUGGGAUACUAGCGCCGCAGGCGGAGGAUUAAUCCAGUUCACCACGGCGUCAGCCCCUGAGCCUAGACUUUCAAUCACAAGGCACAGAUCAGCUGCGAAGACGUCCAUGUGCUCUGCUAAGCUCUUUAGAUGUCAUGAGGCGUCAGGCUGCAAAAGGGUGAUGAGACGACUUUGUUUUUUGCAAGAGUCCUUCCUUGAGAUAGGAAGCUGCACACAGCGCAGCCAGCGAGAUACGCAGCCCUACCUGAUAGAGCGCUGCCCCAGUGGUGGCUGGGAAAAAGCCCGUCCAUGGAGCAAGUUCCAGCUUAUCUCUGGCCUUGUUCCUUGCAGCCUUGGGGCCUCUGCUUUCUCAGACGUCCUCCCCGUGCCCUGCCUACAGAACUUUCAUGGAGCUUCCCGUGUCUGGGCUGCAGAAAGCCAGGUAGUCUUACUGCAUCACCUGGGGCUACUUCCCCACUGAUUGUGCAAGAGCUCCAGCCACUUCACAGGUGGUACUUAAAUAGUCCCAGGCCGCUAGUAUUUCCUGGGAAAGUUUGCCAUCAGGGCUGUGACUGACUCAAAGGCCUUUGAAAAAGAGCUGCAGUCAGCACUCCUUCUCUGAAACAGGGGAUUCUCCCAGGGGUUAACAAUACCUGUGGGAUAGCUCCGGGCCUUUGAAAAGUAGCAUUUGCUCUUUAAGGUCAGGAGAUCACGCUUGGUAAAACCUUGCUGCCUUCAAAGAGGUUGUCCAGUUUCCAAAAACUAGCCCCAUCAAACCCACAUGGCCAGGAGUCAGCUGCGUGUGUGUGUUUGCUCAGGUGGAUGGCUUUGGGCCUGAAACACGGGUUCGUUACAGUGAGGAGAGCUGAGCUCCCUUUGCAGUAUAGGCCCCAGUCUGUUCAAAUGCCUCAGCAUCAGCCUUUCUGCCAAAGGAUUCUUAAGAGAAGGGAGCAGAAUCGUUGCAUCACACUUCUCCUGGAUGAAAUCUGCAUAAUGAUGGGGAAUGGCAUAAGCAGAAUGUGAGGCCACCAGCUAGCCAGAAGUCAUGCUGCUCACAGCCCUGUCAAGAACCAGGAGGACCUUUUAGAUGCUGUAUCUUCACAGAAGUCAAAUGAGCUAAGGUCACACAUCCACUUAGUAGCAGAACUAGGCUUGGAAUGCAAGCCUCUUGCCUUCUGGUCCAGAUCCCAAUCUGCUGAAUCGGUGUUUUCCUAUGUGAAUUCUGUAAGGUGUUAAUAGACACCGCAUUCUAGACUGCCAUGGCCAAGUAAGUUCAGCAAAGAUUGGGUUAAAAAAUUACACAUGUGCUUAUGACAGGACUUCUCGGGACCUUUAAACAUCACUGUUUGCUGCGAUUUUCCAGGAGCUGAGAUAGGCAGUGUUCCUGUUUCACUCAUCGUAGAACCCUUUUGCAGCUGGGAUACGUAUUGUGAGAGACGCUGCUUCCGCUCUUAAAUAAGUUCAAUAAUUUUCUAAGGCUGAACUCAUGGGUGAUGUGGUUCCAGCUUUUGUUUAGGAAAUGUUGGGAGCUUUAGUUUAUAUUUCUGGCCUACUGAGGUGAACAUGAUGGAAGGUGGCUGCUAUCCCUGCCUGGAAUGACUGCUGGACUAUCCCAAGAUGGCACGCAGCGCUUUUCAGGAUCACUGCUGUCUUCAACACCAUUUAGUUUUGUUUUCUUAUUGUGGUUACUUUGAGGGCACUUGGAUUCUGCACCUUGUUUGGCCUAGGGAGGAAAGUCUGUUGACAUCUUCUGGUGGCACACCCCUCUGAAGGUGGGCCCAAAUGUAAUAGCAUUCUCUAUUCUUUAAGUUCUUUGUACAAAUCUAUUUAUUAUUUAUUAUUUGUUUGAAAGACAGAGACAGAUAGAGAGGGAAAGGUACUCCAUCCAUUGGCUCAUGCCCCAAAUGCCCACAGCACCAAGGGAUGGGUCAGGCUGAAACUGAAGCCUGGGAUUCAAUCCAGGUCUCUCAUAGGGGUGGCAGGGACACAGCACUUGGCCAUUGCCUGCUUUCUCCCAGGGUGUGCAUCAGCAGGGAACUGGAGUCGGAAGCAGAGCUGGGACUCUAGUACUGGCACACUGGUGUGGUGUACGAACGUCCCACAUGGUGUCCUGACUUCUGCACCAAAUGCCAGACCCUAUGUUCUAGAACUUCUUGAUCUUUUUUGGGACAUGACUCUUUCUGGGUUCGUAUAAAAAAAAGUUAUGGACCUGUUGUGACAUCAAAUGCAUAUUCAUAAUAAAGCUCAUAUUAAAUUUUAGGGUGUUCUUGUGCCCUUUGAAGCCCAUCAAUAAAUCACUGACCUAGAUUCACUGCCCUCCAAAGAGUACUUCCUAAAAUCAGCACACAGAUACACACAUGCGCAACCUAAGGAAUGGUGGUAAGCUACCCUGUUGUCAGUUACUUUUUUCUUUCUUUCGAGUUCUUGGUUCUUGGAGGGCGGCUUGUUGCAGGCUAGUUCCUGUUUCCCUGUGGCUUUGUCAAUCAUGCUGAAGGCCCGCCAAUCGUGUUGCUUCAAGUGCAGAGCUUGGGGAUUUCCUGGAGCUGUUGUUGAAAAAUGCCAGUCCUAGCUUUUUUUUUUUUUUUUUUUUUUAGAAGCUUCCCUUCUAGCUUUUUGGAUUAAAAAAAAAAAAUAAGAAGAGGGGCAGAAGGACAAGACAUAUGCAGAGAAUCACAUGGAAAAAGAGGACAGCUGCAAGCAGUAGGCUGGGCACUACGGCUCUGCCUGUAACUCGCCUGCAGCCAGAUGGUUUCCUCUCCCCAGGCCUCAGUUUGGGUUUGUUGUCUGCUAUCUGAGCAACUUGGGCUCACCCAGCUGCUAGGACCUUCUUCUGUCUCUGAUGGUCCAUGCGAGUGUUAUAAAAAUUUAAUAACAAAAAAAGCUCUCUCAGCUUUCCUCUUCUCUAAAAAAUAUUUGAUUCAUUUAUUUUUAUUUGAAAGGCAGAGAGACAGACUUCUUCCAUCUGCUAAUUCACUCCCCCAGAUGCCCACAAAACUGGGGGUGAAGUCAGGAGCCUGGGACUCAGUCUGGAUCUCCCAUGUGGGCAGCAGGGAUCCAAGUACUUAAGCCAUCACCUGCUGCCUCCCCGGUAUGGGAUGUUAGUGUCCUGCCGCUGCACAGAAGCCCUGCCCUGUUUUCCACUCUUUU
This is a non-coding RNA of Oryctolagus cuniculus (rabbit), 19673 nucleotides long. NCBI's taxonomy places the organism in Eukaryota, Metazoa, Chordata, Mammalia, Lagomorpha, Leporidae. The record is from RefSeq and is a predicted model, not a curated record.